UACGUAGGGGGCUAGCGUUGUCCGGAAUCAUUGGGCGUAAAGCGCGUGUAGGCGGCCCGGUAAGUCCGCUGUGAAAGUCGGGGGCUCAACCCUCGGAUGCCGGUGGAUACUGUCGGGCUCGAGUACGGAAGAGGCGAGUGGAAUUCCUGGUGUAGCGGUGAAAUGCGCAGAUAUCAGGAGGAACACCAAUUGCGAAGGCAGCGCGCUGGGACGUUACUGACGCUGAGACGCGAAAGCGUGGGGAGCAAACAGG
Molecule: ribosomal RNA, 253 nt
Filed under: uncultured bacterium
Lineage: Bacteria
Description: partial 16S ribosomal RNA
Rfam family: Bacterial small subunit ribosomal RNA
Source: RNAcentral